RNAcentral lists this ribosomal RNA (465 nucleotides) under Vreelandella stevensii. Its description in RNAcentral is "partial 16S ribosomal RNA". It matches the Rfam family "Bacterial small subunit ribosomal RNA", at positions 338 to 795 of the family's 1533-position model. The record is from RNAcentral. Lineage: Bacteria; Pseudomonadati; Pseudomonadota; Gammaproteobacteria; Oceanospirillales; Halomonadaceae.
CCUACGGGUGGCAGCAGUGGGGAAUAUUGGACAAUGGGGGGAACCCUGAUCCAGCCAUGCCGCGUGUGUGAAGAAGGCCCUCGGGUUGGAAAGCACUUUCAGUGAGGAAGAACGCCUGGUGGUUAAUACCCAUCAGGAAAGACAUCACUCACAGAAGAAGCACCGGCUAACUCCGUGCCAGCAGCCGCGGUAAUACGGAGGGUGCGAGCGUUAAUCGGAAUUACUGGGCGUAAAGCGCGCGUAGGUGGCUUGAUAAGCCGGUUGUGAAAGCCCCGGGCUCAACCUGGGAACGGCAUCCGGAACUGUCAAGCUAGAGUGCAGGAGAGGAAGGUAGAAUUCCCGGUGUAGCGGUGAAAUGCGUAGAGAUCGGGAGGAAUACCAGUGGCGAAGGCGGCCUUCUGGACUGAAACUGACACUGAGGUGCGAAAGCGUGGGUAGCAAACAGGAUUAGAUACCCUAGUAGUC